AUACUUACCUGGCAGGGGAGAUACCAUAAUCACAAGGGGGUUUUCCCAGGGUGAGGCUCACUCAUAGCGCUCCGAGUGUGCUGACCCCUGGGAUUUCCCACCCCCUCCCAAAAAUAA
Molecule: small nuclear RNA, 117 nt
Filed under: Carlito syrichta (Philippine tarsier)
Lineage: Eukaryota; Metazoa; Chordata; Mammalia; Primates; Tarsiidae
Description: U1 spliceosomal RNA (ENSTSYG00000023391.2)
Rfam family: U1 spliceosomal RNA
About the family: U1 is a small nuclear RNA (snRNA) component of the spliceosome (involved in pre-mRNA splicing). Its 5' end forms complementary base pairs with the 5' splice junction, thus defining the 5' donor site of an intron.
Source: RNAcentral